UAGUCCACGCCGUAAACGAUGUGUGCUAGUUGUCGGGACCUUAAGGUUUCGGCGACGGAGAGAAAUCAUUAAGCACACCGCCUGGGGAGUACGGCCGCAAGGUUAAAACUCAAAGGAAUUGACGGGGACCCGCACAAGCGGUGGAGCAUGUUGUUUAAUUCGAAGCAACGCGAAGAACCUUACCUACCCUUGACAUACUGGUCGGGAAUUGCAGAGAUGCUUUUCUUCACUUCGGGUGGACCAGAUACAGGUGUUGCAUGGCUGUCGUCAGCUCGUGUCGUGAGAUGUUGGGUUAAGUCCCGCAACGAGCGCAACCCUUAUCGUCUGUUGCCAUCAGGUUAUGCUGGGCACUCUGGCGAGACUGCCGGUGAUAAGCCGGAGGAAGGCGGGGACGACGUCAAGUCAUCAUGGCCCUUACGGGUAGGGCUACAAACGUGCUACAAUGGCUGUGACAGUGGGCAGCGAGGUCGCGAGGCCAAGCUAAUCUCUAAAAACNGUCUCAGUUCGGAUUGUU
RNAcentral lists this ribosomal RNA (514 nucleotides) under uncultured bacterium. Its description in RNAcentral is "bacterial SSU rRNA". It matches the Rfam family "Bacterial small subunit ribosomal RNA", at positions 791 to 1302 of the family's 1533-position model. The record is from RNAcentral.